Molecule: long non-coding RNA, 670 nt
Filed under: Brassica napus (rape)
Lineage: Eukaryota; Viridiplantae; Streptophyta; Magnoliopsida; Brassicales; Brassicaceae
Description: long non-coding RNA (BNAP_LNC026458)
Source: RNAcentral
AUCAUCAAGGCUCGAUUCAUAUGAAUUCUUGGAUAUAGGUCAAAAAGAAAUGAACAGGACUUGGUGGCAACCACCAUUAAUGCUUGAUUCAUGGAAGCAUGUCCAAUCUUGGUCAAUGAUCUUGCAAUAUUAGCAGACUUUGACUAAAUAGAGAAAUUAGUAGAGAGAAAAGAUAAGAACUAAUUUUUACCUGCAGAUCCAGAUACUUGUUUGAAAAUCCUUGAAUCAUGUGAUCGAUACUCUCAAGGUAAAGCCUGCACUUUUAUUUAUGCUAAGAAAUGAGGUUGGUAGAGGGGAAUGUGAGACAUGAUUUGCUAAGUUGUUGGCUAGGUGAAUUUGGUUGCUAAGGUAGGAUAUGGUAUAAUGUUCUUUUGUGAUUAAGACUUCUUAGAUGUGGAUUGCAGUAUUGUAGAGGUGAUGAUUCUAUGUUUUUAAAUCAUGUGAGUCCCUGCUGUUUUCAAACCUCUUUCAGAGAGACUGCCCGUCUGUUUUGCUUGAGGACAAGCAAAAGGGUAAGUCUGGGGGAGUUGAUAUACCAUGGAUUUUACCCAUUAUUAGCCAUGUUAUAUAGGUGUUUUAAUAACUAAUUACUAUUAUAUAGAGUCUAUUUAGAGUAUUUACAGGUUCAGGUACGUUCUGGAUAAAUAUGGUAAUUUUGUAGCCUUUUGAG